AUGGACCACUUGUACAGCCCGAUUCUGAGCGCGCCAUCCACACCUACCUGACGACUGCUCGCUACCGUUGGUAGCC
Molecule: small RNA, 76 nt
Filed under: Xanthomonas floridensis
Lineage: Bacteria; Pseudomonadati; Pseudomonadota; Gammaproteobacteria; Lysobacterales; Lysobacteraceae
Description: sX9 sRNA
Rfam family: Xanthomonas sRNA sX9
Source: RNAcentral